AUGGCGACCGGGCGCACGGGUGAGUAACGCGUAUGCAACCUGCCCGAUACCGGGGUAUAGCCCAUGGAAACGUGGAUUAACACCCCAUAGUACUUUUAUCCUGCCUGGGAUGGGAGUUAAAUGUUCAAGGUAUCGGAUGGGCAUGCGUCCUAUUAGUUAGUUGGCGGGGUAACAGCCCACCAAGACGAUGAUAGGUAGGGGUUCUGAGAGGAAGGUCCCCCACAUUGGAACUGAGACACGGUCCAA
This 246-nucleotide ribosomal RNA is filed under the name uncultured bacterium. RNAcentral's name for it is "partial 16S ribosomal RNA". It matches the Rfam family "Bacterial small subunit ribosomal RNA", at positions 87 to 334 of the family's 1533-position model. The record is from RNAcentral.